This is a non-coding RNA of Vicugna pacos (alpaca), 159 nucleotides long. NCBI's taxonomy places the organism in Eukaryota, Metazoa, Chordata, Mammalia, Artiodactyla, Camelidae. The record is from RefSeq and is a predicted model, not a curated record.
UUAUUUUUGCAGGUAGCUAUCCUCCCGCUUCAGCCAAUCCUGCAGGUACAAACUAUCCAGGUAACAAGCCUCCCGCUUCAGCCAAUCCUGCAGGUCCAAACUAUUCAGGUACCAAGCCUCCCGCUUCAGCCAAUCCUGCAGGUCCAACCUAUCCAGGUA